GAUGCGACAACACGAACCUGCUAAAUUCUACAUCUGAUGUUAAUUCACCAGCCGCAUCA
This 59-nucleotide transfer RNA is filed under the name Diploderma splendidum. RNAcentral's name for it is "tRNA-Ser". Lineage: Eukaryota; Metazoa; Chordata; Lepidosauria; Squamata; Agamidae. The record is from RNAcentral.